This 537-nucleotide transfer RNA is filed under the name uncultured Prochlorococcus sp. RNAcentral describes it as "partial 16S-23S ribosomal RNA intergenic spacer". The stretch from base 215 to 287 matches the Rfam family "tRNA". Lineage: Bacteria; Bacillati; Cyanobacteriota; Cyanophyceae; Synechococcales; Prochlorococcaceae. The record is from RNAcentral.
CAGGGAGACAACAAAAUGUUUAAUAUUAAUUUUGUCACCUUAGGUCGAUCGGUAUCUCACAUUUUUAAUUAAUUUAAAAAUUUUAUUUCCUAAGUUUUUUCUAGGUCACACCCAUUACUUUUCCUGGGCCAUUAGCUCAGGUGGUUAGAGCGCACCCCUGAUAAGGGUGAGGUCCCUGGUUCAAGUCCAGGAUGGCCCAUCAUAUCUCUAUGUUGGGGGUAUAGCUCAGUUGGUAGAGCGCCUGCUUUGCAAGCAGGAUGUCAGCGGUUCGAGUCCGCUUACCUCCACUGAUCACCACCUCUUCCAUAUUUAAAGGAAAUGUUUUGAGCUGUGAUCAAAUCUGAACGAAUCUAGCUUCCUAAUGACCUUAUUAAGAUGCUGGACUCAUUGAAUUAAUUUCAUUGUUUUCAGAGAACCUUGACAACUGCAUAGAUUAUUUUUAAAGACAAUAAGCAUCUUUAAUGAUGCAGAUUUAUUAUUUGUGCAAAUGCAUUAAUAACAAUUCUAUUAAGCUGAUGCUUCAAUUUUGAAGUUAUU